UUGGGCGUAAAGGGCUCGUAGGCGGUUUGUCGCGUCGGGAGUGAAAACACUGGGCUUAACUCAGUGCUUGCUUCCGAUACGGGCAGACUAGAGGUAUGCAGGGGAGAACGGAAUUCCUGGUGUAGCGGUGAAAUGCGCAGAUAUCAGGAGGAACACCGGUGGCGAAGGCGGUUCUCUGGGCAUUACCUGACGCUGAGGAGCGAAAGUGUGGGGAGCGAACAGGAUUAGAUACCCUGGUAGUCCACACCGUAAACGUUGGGCGCUAGGUGUGGGGUCCAUUCCACGGAUUCCGUGCCGCAGCUAACGCAUUAAGCGCCCCGCCUGGGGAGUACGGCCGCAAGGCUAAAACUCAAAGGAAUUGACGGGGGCCCGCACAAGCGGCGGAGCAUGCGGAUUAAUUCGAUGCAACGCGAAGAACCUUACCUGGGUUUGACAUACACCGGAAAGCCUCAGAGAUGAGGCCCCUUUUGUCGGUGUACAGGUGGUGCAUGGCUGUCGUCAGCUCGUGUCGUGAGAUGUUGGGUUAAGUCCCGCAACGAGCGCAACCCUCGUCCUAUGUUGCCAGCACGUCAUGGUGGGGACUCAUAGGAGACUGCCGGGGUCAACUCGGAGGAAGGUGGGGAUGACGUCAAGUCAUCAUGCCCCUUAUGUCCAGGGCUUCACGCAUGCUACAAUGGCCGGUACAAAGGGCUGCGAUGCCGUAAGGCGGAGCGAAUCCCAAAAAGCCGGUCUCAGUUCGGAUUGGGGUCUGCAACUCGACCCCAUGAAGUCGGAGUCGCUAGUAAUCGCAGAUCAGCAACGCUGCGGUGAAUACGUUCCCGGGCCUUGUACACACCGCCCGUCACGUCAUGAAAGUCGGCAACACCCGAAGCCGGUGGCCCAACCCUUGUGGAGGGAGCCGUCGAAGGGG
Molecule: ribosomal RNA, 910 nt
Filed under: Nocardioides terrigena
Lineage: Bacteria; Bacillati; Actinomycetota; Actinomycetes; Propionibacteriales; Nocardioidaceae
Description: bacterial SSU rRNA
Rfam family: Bacterial small subunit ribosomal RNA
Source: RNAcentral